Long non-coding RNA from Acanthopagrus latus (yellowfin seabream), 483 nucleotides. RefSeq lists it as uncharacterized. The record is from RefSeq and is a predicted model, not a curated record. The transcript has 3 exons. NCBI's taxonomy places the organism in Eukaryota, Metazoa, Chordata, Actinopteri, Spariformes, Sparidae.
GAUCCAGGUGGAGUUGAAGUUAUUUGUUUUGUUACUUUGGAAACAGAGCGUUUUAUUCUGAAGGAAAGCUUGUGUACUUCCUUUGUCAUCGUUAAAUCUUCACUGGCAUCAACAUCAUCAAGAACAACAACGUCAAUCACCAUCAUGAUUCUACACCACCUGUGGGCCCGGCGGAGCUGAGGCCGUGUGGCUGAUAUCGGUGCCAGGCCCGAGGCGGCGAUGAAGGUUCUGAUCACUGCGUGCAGCGAUGAGCUCAUAUUAACAGUCAGCUGAGACGUCCUGACUGUGUCACACACGACGAUGACAAACUCAAACAAACACAGCAGGGAAACGAACAGACGGCUGAAUAUUUCCUAAAGACGAGUCACAGCGGAAAUAUUCAUAAAGAAGAUGUGAUUUCACGCCCUCGAUGCACGGCAGCAACAUCUCCAGGAUAUAAAGUACCACAGAUACCAAACGUGUCACAUCACACUCACAUUAAAU